RNAcentral lists this ribosomal RNA (200 nucleotides) under uncultured bacterium. Its description in RNAcentral is "partial 16S ribosomal RNA". It matches the Rfam family "Bacterial small subunit ribosomal RNA", at positions 524 to 721 of the family's 1533-position model. The record is from RNAcentral.
UACGGAGGGUGCGAGCGUUGUCCGGAAUCACUGGGCGUAAAGGGCGCGUAGGUGGCGCGGGGCAGUCAAACGGUGAAAGUUCGGGGCUCAACCCUGAAUCGGCCGUCGAUACUCCCGUGCUUGAGCACUGUAGAGGCAGAUGGAAUUCCGGGUGUAGCGGUGGAAUGCGUAGAGAUCCGGAAGAACACCGGUGGCGAAGG